UGAAUGAAUAUGUGUACAUGUACACACCUA
RNAcentral lists this non-coding RNA (30 nucleotides) under Mus musculus (house mouse). The record is from RNAcentral. Lineage: Eukaryota; Metazoa; Chordata; Mammalia; Rodentia; Muridae.